GCACUGGUGGUUCAGUGGUAGAAUUCUCACCUUCCACGUGGGAGAACUGGGGUUUGAUUACCGGCCAAUGUA
RNAcentral lists this transfer RNA (72 nucleotides) under Loxodonta africana (African savanna elephant). It matches the Rfam family "tRNA". From Rfam's summary of the family: Transfer RNA (tRNA) molecules are approximately 80 nucleotides in length. The record is from Rfam by way of RNAcentral. Lineage: Eukaryota; Metazoa; Chordata; Mammalia; Proboscidea; Elephantidae.